This 409-nucleotide transfer-messenger RNA is filed under the name Catenulisporaceae. Its description in RNAcentral is "Actinospica sp018139625 Standard tmRNA". It matches the Rfam family "transfer-messenger RNA". From Rfam's summary of the family: Bacterial tmRNA, also known as 10Sa RNA or SsrA, is named for its dual tRNA and mRNA-like properties. Lineage: Bacteria; Bacillati; Actinomycetota; Actinomycetes; Catenulisporales. The record is from RNAcentral. RNAcentral also lists the same sequence under 1 other name.
GGGGGUGAACGGUUUCGACAUUGGACGUCGACGCAGGGGAAGCGGGCCGAGGAAGCCGUGAUGAUCUCGUUAACCACGAAACACGGCAAAAAAACAAAUGCCAACCAGAAGACGGUUGCCCGGAACACGAUGGCCCUCGCUGCCUGAUCUAGCUUCUCGCUAGUCCAGCAGUAAGGUUUCACCGCAGUUCCUUUGUCGCUCCAGGAUCGCCCCCGACCUGGCCGCGGCAUCAUCUAGGGGGCAAAACCUCACGAACAGGCCACGGGUGAGUGAGGGAACUUACGUGGCUGGGCUUGUCGGUGACCCGUCCCGGGGAUCGCCGGAGCCGAGAAAAGCGUUCGGGAAUACGCCCGUAGAAGCCCUGCAGAGCCGCCGAUGGACCCGGGUUCGAUUCCCGGCACCUCCACCG